Molecule: ribosomal RNA, 805 nt
Filed under: Curtobacterium sp.
Lineage: Bacteria; Bacillati; Actinomycetota; Actinomycetes; Micrococcales; Microbacteriaceae
Description: bacterial SSU rRNA
Rfam family: Bacterial small subunit ribosomal RNA
Source: RNAcentral
UGCAGUCGAACGAUGAUGCCCAGCUUGCUGGGUGGAUUAGUGGCGAACGGGUGAGUAACACGUGAGUAACCUGCCCCUGACUCUGGGAUAAGCGUUGGAAACGACGUCUAAUACUGGAUAUGACUACCGGCCGCAUGGUCUGGUGGUGGAAAGAUUUUUUGGUUGGGGAUGGACUCGCGGCCUAUCAGCUUGUUGGUGAGGUAAUGGCUCACCAAGGCGACGACGGGUAGCCGGCCUGAGAGGGUGACCGGCCACACUGGGACUGAGACACGGCCCAGACUCCUACGGGAGGCAGCAGUGGGGAAUAUUGCACAAUGGGCGAAAGCCUGAUGCAGCAACGCCGCGUGAGGGAUGACGGCCUUCGGGUUGUAAACCUCUUUUAGUAGGGAAGAAGCGAAAGUGACGGUACCUGCAGAAAAAGCACCGGCUAACUACGUGCCAGCAGCCGCGGUAAUACGUAGGGUGCAAGCGUUGUCCGGAAUUAUUGGGCGUAAAGAGCUCGUAGGCGGUUUGUCGCGUCUGCUGUGAAAUCCCGAGGCUCAACCUCGGGCUUGCAGUGGGUACGGGCAGACUAGAGUGCGGUAGGGGAGAUUGGAAUUCCUGGUGUAGCGGUGGAAUGCGCAGAUAUCAGGAGGAACACCGAUGGCGAAGGCAGAUCUCUGGGCCGUAACUGACGCUGAGGAGCGAAAGCAUGGGGAGCGAACAGGAUUAGAUACCCUGGUAGUCCAUGCCGUAAACGUUGGGCGCUAGAUGUAGGGACCUUUCCACGGUUUCUGUGUCGUAGCUAACGCAUUAAGCGCCCCGC